GGUUAAGCGACCAAGCGUACACGGUGGAUGCCCUGGCAGUCAGAGGCGAUGAAGGACGUGCUAAUCUGCGAAAAGCGCCGGUAAGGUGAUAUGAACCGUUAUAACCGGCGAUGUCCGAAUGGGGAAACCCAGUGUGACUCGUCACACUAUCAUUAACUGAAUCCAUAGGUUAAUGAGGCGAACCGGGGGAACUGAAACAUCUAAGUACCCCGAGGAAAAGAAAUCAACCGAGAUUCCCCCAGUAGCGGCGAGCGAACGGGGAGGAGCCCAGAGCCUGAAUCAGCAUGUGUGUUAGUGGAAGCGUCUGGAAAGGCGCGCGAUACAGGGUGACAGCCCCGUACACAAAAGCGCAUGUGCUGUGAGCUCGAUGAGUAGGGCGGGACACGUGGUAUCCUGUCUGAAUAUGGGGGGACCAUCCUCCAAGGCUAAAUACUCCUGACUGACCGAUAGUGAACCAGUACCGUGAGGGAAAGGCGAAAAGAACCCCGGCGAGGGGAGUGAAACAGAACCUGAAACCGUGUACGUACAAGCAGUGGGAGCAUGAGUUUACUCAUGUGACUGCGUACCUUUUGUAUAAUGGGUCAGCGACUUAUAUUCUGUAGCAAGGUUAACCGAAUAGGGGAGCCGGAGGGAAACCGAGUCUUAACCGGGCGUUAAGUUGCAGGGUAUAGACCCGAAACCCGGUGAUCUAGCCAUGGGCAGGUUGAAGGUUGGGUAACACUAACUGGAGGACCGAACCGACUAAUGUUGAAAAAUUAGCGGAUGACCUGUGGCUGGGGGUGAAAGGCCAAUCAAACCGGGAGAUAGCUGGUUCUCCCCGAAAGCUAUUUAGGUAGCGCCUCGUGAAUUCAUCUCCGGGGGUAGAGCACUGUUUCGGCCAGGGGGCCAUCCCGGCUUACCAACCCGAUGCAAACUGCGAAUACCGGAGAAUGUUAUCACGGGAGACACACGGCGGGUGCUAACGUCCGUCGUGAAGAGGGAAACAACCCAGACCGCCAGCUAAGGUCCCAAAGUCAUGGUUAAGUGGGAAACGAUGUGGGAAGGCCCAGACAGCCAGGAUGUUGGCUUAGAAGCAGCCAUCAUUUAAAGAAAGCGUAAUAGCUCACUGGUCGAGUCGGCCUGCGCGGAAGAUGUAACGGGGCUAAACCAUGCACCGAAGCUGCGGCAGCGACACUAAGUGUUGUUGGGUAGGGGAGCGUUCUGUAAGCCUGCGAAGGUGUGCUGUGAGGCAUGCUGGAGGUAUCAGAAGUGCGAAUGCUGACAUAAGUAACGAUAAUGCGGGUGAAAAACCCGCACGCCGGAAGACCAAGGGUUCCUGUCCAACGUUAAUCGGGGCAGGGUGAGUCGACCCCUAAGGCGAGGCCGAAAGGCGUAGUCGAUGGGAAACGGGUUAAUAUUCCCGUACCUGGUGUUACUGCGAAGGGGGGACGGAGAAGGCUAUGUUGGCCGGGCGACGGUUGUCCCGGUUUAAGCGUGCAGGCUGGUUUUCCAGGCAAAUCCGGAAAAUCAAGGCUGAGGCGUGACGACGAGGCACUACGGUGCUGAAGCAACAAAUGCCCUGCUUCCAGGAAAAGCCUCUAAGCCUCAGGUAACAUCAGAUCGUACCCGAAACCGACACAGGUGGUCAGGUAGAGAAUACCAAGGCGCUUGAGAGAACCCGGGUGAAGGAACUAGGCAAAAUGGUGCCGUAACUUCGGGAGAAGGCACGCUGACACGUAGGUGAAGCGGUUUACCCGUGGAGCUGAAGUCAGUCGAAGAUACCAGCUGGCUGCAACUGUUUAUUAAAAACACAGCACUGUGCAAACACGAAAGUGGACGUAUACGGUGUGACGCCUGCCCGGUGCCGGAAGGUUAAUUGAUGGGGUCAGCGCAAGCGAAGCUCCUGAUCGAAGCCCCGGUAAACGGCGGCCGUAACUAUAACGGUCCUAAGGUAGCGAAAUUCCUUGUCGGGUAAGUUCCGACCUGCACGAAUGGCGUAAUGAUGGCCAGGCUGUCUCCACCCGGGACUCAGUGAAAUUGAACUCGCUGUGAAGAUGCAGUGUACCCGCGGCAAGACGGAAAGACCCCGUGAACCUUUACUAUAGCUUGACACUGAACACUGGUCCUUGAUGUGCAGGAUAGGUGGGAGGCUUUGAAGUGUGGACGCCAGUCUGCAUGGAGCCGUCCUUGAAAUACCACCCUUUAAUGGCUGGUGUUCUAACGUAGACCCGUGAACCGGGUUGCGGACAGUGUCUGGUGGGUAGUUUGACUGGGGCGGUCUCCUCCUAAAGCGUAACGGAGGAGCACGAAGGUUGGCUAAUCCUGGUCGGACAUCAGGAGGUUAGUGCAAUGGCAUAAGCCAGCUUGACUGCGAGCGUGACGGCGCGAGCAGGUGCGAAAGCAGGUCAUAGUGAUCCGGUGGUUCUGAAUGGAAGGGCCAUCGCUCAACGGAUAAAAGGUACUCCGGGGAUAACAGGCUGAUACCGCCCAAGAGUUCAUAUCGACGGCGGUGUUUGGCACCUCGAUGUCGGCUCAUCACAUCCUGGGGCUGAAGUAGGUCCCAAGGGUAUGGCUGUUCGCCAUUUAAAGUGGUACGCGAGCUGGGUUUAGAACGUCGUGAGACAGUUCGGUCCCUAUCUGCCGUGGGCGCUGGAGAACUGAGGGGGGCUGCUCCUAGUACGAGAGGACCGGAGUGGACGCAUCACUGGUGUUCGGGUUGUCAUGCCAAUGGCACUGCCCGGUAGCUAAAUGCGGAAGAGAUAAGUGCUGAAAGCAUCUAAGCACGAAACUUGCCCCGAGAUGAGUUCUCCCUGAGACUACAAGUCUCCUGAAGGAACGUUGAAGACGACGACGUUGAUAGGCCGGGUGUGUAAGCGCAGCGAUGCGUUGAGCUAACCGGUACUAAUGAACCGUGAGGCUUAACCUUAC
RNAcentral lists this ribosomal RNA (2907 nucleotides) under Salmonella enterica subsp. arizonae serovar 62:z4,z23:-. RNAcentral's name for it is "bacterial LSU rRNA". It matches the Rfam family "Bacterial large subunit ribosomal RNA". Lineage: Bacteria; Pseudomonadati; Pseudomonadota; Gammaproteobacteria; Enterobacterales; Enterobacteriaceae. The record is from RNAcentral.